CAGUAGCCGCGGUAAUACGAAGGGUGCAAGCGUUACUCGGAAUUACUGGGCGUAAAGCGUGCGUAGGUGGUUGUUUAAGUCUGCUGUGAAAGCCCUGGGCUCAACCUGGGAAUUGCAGUGGAUACUGGGCAACUAGAGUAAGGUAGAGGAUAGUGGAAUUUCCGGUGUAGCAGUGAAAUGCGUAGAGAUCGGAAGGAACAUCUGUGGCGAAGGCGACUAUCUGGGCCAUUACUGACACUGAGGCACGAAAGCGUGGGGAGCAAACAGGAUUAGAUACCCGUGUAGUCCCUGUCUCUUAUAC
This 301-nucleotide ribosomal RNA is filed under the name uncultured bacterium. Its description in RNAcentral is "partial 16S ribosomal RNA". It matches the Rfam family "Bacterial small subunit ribosomal RNA", at positions 509 to 807 of the family's 1533-position model. The record is from RNAcentral.